GUAAUGAUGAGUAGUCGUGAUUCUUGGGUACCGAUUGCUGCGGGUUUGGUGCUCGGGGCCAGUGUCCUGGCAGUGAUAUAUAAACUAUUCCUGACGGGUCAUUCCAACUAUGCUAAGGGAAGUAAUCAAAACAUCGGAGCUAUACGAUACGUUUGUCGUUGUAAAAAAGACGGAGAGAAUUUAUGCCAACUGCAUGGAAAAACGUAGAAAAAGAAGAAUGAAGUUCCUACUUGUCUCAAUUCUGUCAUAUAAAAAUGUCAAUAAACGUCGAGAUUCUAUUAUACAAUUUGAAAUGACAAAAUUUACAAAAAUGUUUAUUAUUUCCGAGUCAUCAACGUUUUCCUUAAUUUUUUUCAAUAAAGGCACCUAAACCGGCUAAUAGAAAAUGUGCGACUGUGCUGAAGAACAAGAGAGGCAAGAGAGAGAGCGUACAAGAGAGAGCACAGUACCAGUUGUUUCAUCACAAUCUUCGAGUUGGUGGAUUUCACAGUGGUGGAGUAGUGGCGGAUCAGGUCAGGGCGAUGAUUCAACGGUGAAGGUGUGGUUUCCUAUUAUCGGCAGUACAGCCGCACUUAUGGGCUUGAUGGCCCUAAUUUAUAAGAAUUUCAAUAAAUUAAAGACUUUAGUGUGGAAAACCAAACAAACUUGCGAAACUAAGGUUAAGCACAAAUCAUCGUGUGAAAAAAUCAAAAUAUGCGUUUGUAAGGAUUGAUUUAGAAAUUGACAAAACUUCCUCUAUUUCUAAUCUUA
Long non-coding RNA from Nymphalis io (European peacock), 750 nucleotides. RefSeq lists it as uncharacterized. Lineage: Eukaryota; Metazoa; Arthropoda; Insecta; Lepidoptera; Nymphalidae. The record is from RefSeq and is a predicted model, not a curated record. The transcript has 4 exons.